GGUAAUAUAAUUUAAUUAAAAAUAUAAAGAUUGCAAAUCUUUAGUUGUGAUAAUCACUGUUACCU
This 65-nucleotide transfer RNA is filed under the name Ceriodaphnia cornuta. Its description in RNAcentral is "tRNA-Cys". Lineage: Eukaryota; Metazoa; Arthropoda; Branchiopoda; Diplostraca; Daphniidae. The record is from RNAcentral.